AUUGAACGCUGGCGGCAGGCCUAACACAUGCAAGUCGAACGGUAACAGGAAGAAGCUUGCUUCUUUGCUGACGAGUGGCGGACGGGUGAGUAAUGUCUGGGAAACUGCCUGAUGGAGGGGGAUAACUACUGGAAACGGUAGCUAAUACCGCAUAACGUCGCAAGACCAAAAAGGGGGACCUUCGGGCCUCUUGCCAUCGGAUUUGCCCAGAUGGGAUUAGCUAGUAGGUGGGGUAACGGCUCACCUAGGCGACGAUCCCUAGCUGGUCUGAGAGGAUGACCAGCCACACUGGAACUGAGACACGGUCCAGACUCCUACGGGAGGCAGCAGUGGGGAAUAUUGCACAAUGGGCGCAAGCCUGAUGCAGCCAUGCCGCGUGUAUGAAGAAGGCCUUCGGGUUGUAAAGUACUUUCAGCGGGGAGGAAGGGAGUAAAGUUAAUACCUUUGCUCAUUGACGUUACCCGCAGAAGAAGCACCGGCUAACUCCGUG
Molecule: ribosomal RNA, 490 nt
Filed under: uncultured bacterium
Lineage: Bacteria
Description: partial 16S ribosomal RNA
Rfam family: Bacterial small subunit ribosomal RNA
Source: RNAcentral